CCGAACUGUCAAACACGGGUUGUUGCUGGUCCUCGGAAGGGGGCAUGUGCACGCUCUGUUUACACAUCCACUUCACACCUGUGCACCCUCUGUAGUUCUAUGGUCUGGGGGCCUCGUCCUCCGUCCGUGGCUCUACGUUUUUACACACACACCGUAUGAUGUCUUGUGGAAUGCUUUCUGCGUUUAACGCGAUAAAAUA
RNAcentral lists this unclassified non-coding RNA (199 nucleotides) under uncultured Tomentella. RNAcentral describes it as "sequence contains ITS1". The record is from RNAcentral. Lineage: Eukaryota; Fungi; Basidiomycota; Agaricomycetes; Thelephorales; Thelephoraceae.